GCAUUAAUGGGGUAGUGGUAACCUGGGUCGUUGCCAAGCGAGCAACGUUCGACCCGCCGGGGGUUCGAUUCCCCCUUAAUGCA
Schizophyllum commune H4-8 is the source of this 83-nucleotide non-coding RNA. The record is from Rfam. Lineage: Eukaryota; Fungi; Basidiomycota; Agaricomycetes; Agaricales; Schizophyllaceae.